GGCCUACGGGAGGCAGCAGUAGGGAAUUUUCGUCAAUGGGCGCAAGCCUGAACGAGCAAUGCCGCGUGGACGAGGAAGGUCUUCGGAUCGUAAAGUUCUGUUGAAGGGGAAAAAGAGCGGAGAGAGGAAAUGGUCUCCGAUUGAUAUUACCCUUCGAGGAAGUCACGGCUAACUACGUGCCAGCAGCCGCGGUAAUACGUAGGUGGCGAGCGUUAUCCGGAAUGAUUGGGCGUAAAGGGAGCGUAGGCGGCUGUGUAAGCCAGAAGUGAAAGCCCGAGGCUCAACCACGGGACUGCUUUUGGAAC
Molecule: ribosomal RNA, 305 nt
Filed under: uncultured bacterium
Lineage: Bacteria
Description: bacterial SSU rRNA
Rfam family: Bacterial small subunit ribosomal RNA
Source: RNAcentral